AACGAACGCUGGCGGCAGGCCUCAAACAUGCAAGUCUAGGGGGUGUAGCAAUACAUCACCGGCGGACGGGUGCGUAACGCGUGGGAAUAUACCUAUCGAUUCGGAACAACUGAGGGAAACUUCAGCUAAUACCGAAUACGUCCUAACGGAGAAAGAUUUAUCGUCGAUAGAUUAGCCCGCGUUCGAUUAGCUAGUUGGUGGGGUAACGGCCCACCAAGGCGACGAUCGAUAGCUGUUCUGAGAGGAAGAUCAGCCACACUGGGACUGAGACACGGCCCAGACUCCUACGGGAGGCAGCAGUUGGGAAUCUUGGACAAUGGGGGAAACCCUGAUCCAGCCAUGCCGCGUGAGUGAUGAAGGCCUUCGGGUUGUAAAACUCUUUCGUCGCACGACGAUAAUGACGGUAGUGCGAGAAGAAGCUCCGGCUAACUUCGUGCCAGCAGCCGCGGUAAU
RNAcentral lists this ribosomal RNA (453 nucleotides) under uncultured bacterium. Its description in RNAcentral is "bacterial SSU rRNA". It matches the Rfam family "Bacterial small subunit ribosomal RNA", at positions 29 to 524 of the family's 1533-position model. The record is from RNAcentral.